RNAcentral lists this ribosomal RNA (431 nucleotides) under uncultured bacterium. RNAcentral describes it as "partial 16S ribosomal RNA". It matches the Rfam family "Bacterial small subunit ribosomal RNA", at positions 29 to 506 of the family's 1533-position model. The record is from RNAcentral.
ACGAACGCUGGCGGCAUGCCUAACACAUGCAAGUCGAACGAGACCUUCGGGUCUAGUGGCGCACGGGUGCGUAACGCGUGGGAACCUGCCCUUAGGUUCGGAAUAACUCCCCGAAAGGGGUGCUAAUACCGGAUAAUGUCUUCGGACCAAAGAUUUAUCGCCUUUGGAUGGGCCCGCGUUGGAUUAGCUAGUUGGUAGGGUAAAAGCCUACCAAGGCGACGAUCCAUAGCUGGUCUGAGAGGAUGAUCAGCCACACUGGGACUGAGACACGGCCCAGACUCCUACGGGAGGCAGCAGUGGGGAAUUUUGGAAAAGGGGCGAAAGCCUGAUCCAGCAAUGCCGGGGGAGUGAUGAAGGCCUUAGGGUUGUAAAGCUCUUUUACCCGGGAUGAUAAUGACAGUACCGGGAGAAUAAGCCCCGGCUAACUCCGU